This 502-nucleotide ribosomal RNA is filed under the name uncultured bacterium. RNAcentral's name for it is "bacterial SSU rRNA". It matches the Rfam family "Bacterial small subunit ribosomal RNA", at positions 32 to 510 of the family's 1533-position model. The record is from RNAcentral.
AAUCAACGCUGGCGGCGUGCCUAACACAUGCAAGUCGAACGCGAAAGCCCCUUCGGGGGUAAGUAGAGUGGCGUCCGGGUGAGUAACACGUGGGUAAUCUACCUUCGGGUGGGGAAUAACUCAGGGAAACUUGAGCUAAUACCGCAUAAUGCAGCGGCACCUAAUGGUGAUUAGUUGUUAAAGCGGGGGAUCGCAAGACCUCGCGCCUGAAGAGGAGCCUGCGGCAGAUUAGCUAGNGGUGAGGUAAUGGCUCACCAAGGCUUCGAUCUGUAGCUGGUCUGAGAGGACGGCCAGCCACACUGGCACUGACACACGGGCCAGACUCCUGCGGGAGGCAGCAGUGGGGAAUUUUGGGCAAUGGGCGAAAGCCUGACCCAGCAACGCCGCGUGAGGGAGGAAAUCCUUCGGGAUGUAAACCUCACAAGCAAGGGAAGAGAGCUACGGGCUGAAUAAUCCCGUAGUGCGACGGUACCUUGCGUAAGCCACGGCUAACUACGUGCCA